AGUGAACGCUGGCGGUAGGCCUAACACAUGCAAGUCGAACGGCAGCACAGUAAGAGCUUGCUCUUACGGGUGGCGAGUGGCGGACGGGUGAGGAAUACAUCGUAAUCUACUUUUUCGUGGGGGAUAACGUAGGGAAACUUACGCUAAUACCGCAUACGACCUACGGGUGAAAGCAGGGGAUCUUCGGACCUUGCGCGAUUGAAUGAGCCGAUGUCGGAUUAGCUAGUUGGCGGGGUAAAGGCCCACCAAGGCGACGAUCCGUAGCUGGUCUGAGAGGAUGAUCAGCCGCAAUGGAACUGAGACACGGUCCAGACUCCUAAGGGAGGCAGCAGUGGGGAAUAUUGGGCAAUGGGCGCAAACCUGAGCCAGCCAUACCGCGUGGGUGAAGAAGGCCUUCGGGUUGGAAAGCCCUUUUGUUGGGUAAGAAAAGCAGCAGGUUAAUACGACGCUGUACUGACGGUACCCAAAGAAUAAGCACCGGCUAACUUCGUG
Molecule: ribosomal RNA, 492 nt
Filed under: uncultured bacterium
Lineage: Bacteria
Description: partial 16S ribosomal RNA
Rfam family: Bacterial small subunit ribosomal RNA
Source: RNAcentral